AGCAGCCGCGGUAAUUCCAGCUCCAAUAGCGUAUAUUAAAGUUGUUGCAGUUAAAAAAGCUCGUAGUCGAAUUUCGGGAUCAAUAUGUCGGUCGUGCCUUCGGUACGUACUGGUAUCAUUGGUCUCUCCUUUCUGACGAACCAUGAUGUCAUUUAAUUUGGUGUUAGUGGGG
RNAcentral lists this ribosomal RNA (172 nucleotides) under uncultured Glomus. Its description in RNAcentral is "partial 18S ribosomal RNA". It matches the Rfam family "Eukaryotic small subunit ribosomal RNA", at positions 569 to 738 of the family's 1831-position model. Lineage: Eukaryota; Fungi; Glomeromycota; Glomeromycetes; Glomerales; Glomeraceae. The record is from RNAcentral.